Molecule: ribosomal RNA, 465 nt
Filed under: uncultured bacterium
Lineage: Bacteria
Description: partial 16S ribosomal RNA
Rfam family: Bacterial small subunit ribosomal RNA
Source: RNAcentral
GACGAACGCUGGCGGCGUGCUUAACACAUGCAAGUCGAACGGAAAGGCCCUGCUUGCAGGGUACUCGAGUGGCGAACGGGUGAGUAACACGUGGGUGAUCUGCCCUGCACUUCGGGAUAAGCCUGGGAAACUGGGUCUAAUACCGGAUAGGAGCCAUUUUUAGUGUGAUGGUUGGAAAGUUUUUUCGGUGUAGGAUGAGCUCGCGGCCUAUCAGCUUGUUGGUGGGGUAAUGGCCUACCAAGGCGGCGACGGGUAGCCGGCCUGAGAGGGUGGACGGCCACAUUGGGACUGAGAUGCGGCCCAGACUCCUACGGGAGGCAGCAGUGGGGAAUAUUGCACAAUGGGCGCCAGCCUGAUGCAGCGACGCCGCGUGGGGGAUGACGGCCUUCGGGUUGUAAACUCCUUUCGCUAGGGACGAAGCUUUUUGUGACGGUACCUAGAUAAGAAGCACCGGCUAACUACGUG